CUUCGGCGCUACCAUGCAGUCGAGCGGAACGAGUUAUCUGACCUUCGGGGACGAUAACGGCGUCGAGCGGCGGACGGGUGAGUAAUGCCUAGGAAAUUGCCCUGAUGUGGGGGAUAACCAUUGGAAACGAUGGCUAAUACCGCAUGAUGCCUACGGGCCAAAGAGGGGGACCUUAGGGCCUCUCGCGUCAGGAUAUGCCUAGGUGGGAUUAGCUAGUUGGUGAGGUAAGGGCUCACCAAGGCGACGAUCCCUAGCUGGUCUGAGAGGAUGAUCAGCCACACUGGAACUGAGACACGGUCCAGACUCCUACGGGAGGCAGCAGUGGGGAAUAUUGCACAAUGGGCGCAAGCCUGAUGCAGCCAUGCCGCGUGUGUGAAGAAGGCCUUCGGGUUGUAAAGCACUUUCAGUCGUGAGGAAGGUAGUGUAGUUAAUAGCUGCAUUAUUUGACGUUAGCGACAGAAGAAGCACCGGCUAACUCCGUGCCAGCAGCCGCGGUAAUACGGAGGGUGCGAGCGUUAAUCGGAAUUACUGGGCGUAAAGCGCAUGCAGGUGGUUUGUUAAGUCAGAUGUGAAAGCCCGGGGCUCAACCUCGGAAUUGCAUUUGAAACUGGCAGACUAGAGUACUGUAGAGGGGGGUAGAAUUUCAGGUGUAGCGGUGAAAUGCGUAGAGAUCUGAAGGAAUACCGGUGGCGAAGGCGGCCCCCUGGACAGAUACUGACACUCAGAUGCGAAAGCGUGGGGAGCAAACAGGAUUAGAUACCCUGAUAGUCCACGCCGUAAACGAUGUCUACUUGGGAGGUUGUGGGCCUUGAGCCGUGGCUUUCGGAGCUAACGCGUUUAAGUAGACCGCCCUGGGGGAGUACGGUCGCAGGAAUUAAACUCAAAGGAAUUUGACGG
This 897-nucleotide ribosomal RNA is filed under the name uncultured bacterium. Its description in RNAcentral is "bacterial SSU rRNA". It matches the Rfam family "Bacterial small subunit ribosomal RNA", at positions 43 to 916 of the family's 1533-position model. The record is from RNAcentral.